This 9696-nucleotide long non-coding RNA is filed under the name Pelobates cultripes (western spadefoot toad). Lineage: Eukaryota; Metazoa; Chordata; Amphibia; Anura; Pelobatidae. The record is from RNAcentral.
AGUUGUGCUGUCCAGGGAUCCCGCCAAGCUGUGACAAAACAAGAAACAACAGCAAGACACCAAAACAAAACAAAACCAACACAUCCAUAACCAAGGGGAGGAUGGGUGGGAAUUUUCACCAGAUUCCCUUCAGAGUCUCUGCUGACUGGUAAGUCUCCUCCCCACUGCUCUCCCCAAACCCCUUUUCUUUGCCACAAAUUAUCCAAUUUAGGCCAGCCAUGAUCCCCCUUCCAAAGGUGUACAGGGGGAAACUCAUUGGUGAGGUACUGAAUAUGCUGGUGUUACAUGCCAGAUGUAAAGAUAUGAGUUUGGGAUGGUUGGUUAGGAGGGUGAAGUGUCAAAUUUAACUUUACACUAAUAUGCAAACCCAGGCAGAUGUAGGUUUUGGUUCUUAGUGGCUGGGCUAGCAUUAAUGAUAUACAGAGUCUCGAAAACAGAUUAGGGGAGCCAAGAAUAAGGUCAAAGAGUACAGACAGACACAAUAUCAAGGAAAAAGCCAAGGUCAGGAUUCCAGAGGUCAAGAGAAGUAAAACAAGCCGUAUUCAGUAACCAAAGAACCAAAACGGCAAAAGAAACUCACUCUUGGGAAGAGACGUAACUAGAAACCAUCUGGCCCCAGUGCAAAAAUUACCCUGGGACACCCCCUCCCCAUGUGUCCUAUGCCCACCUAGCCCUUCCAUUUGUCUUUCUUCCCCCAGCCCCUUCUUGUGCCUCAUUCCCCCUUCCAUGUGUCCUAAUUCCUCCCCUAGUCCAUUCCAUGUGUUAAUUCCCCUCCAGUCCCUUUCAUGUAUCUCAAUACACCGCCCCUCAAUGUGUCAAUGCCCCCCACCAGUCUCUUCCAUGUGUCUCUCCCCUAUUCCCCUCUGUACCUAUUCUCUCUCCUGUAGCUUGGCCAAGUGGACCGCUGUACCUGAUCUCACAGGAAGUGAGCAAUUUCUGUCAGACAGGGUAGAGGGAAACAGAGGCCCCUCUACCUGCAGUCCACUUGACCAUGCUAUUUGUUUUGUGAUCAGCAGGAGGGGAGCGCUGUCACUCUGUGAUCAUGGCCCCCCCGGGCCAUGUACUGACCCUGAAAUGAUCGAGGCCCCCGGUCGCUGGGGUCGGCCAAGCCCCCUGGAGUGAAUGGCACAGCCGCAGCUGCGACCCCUGCCACUGUGGUAGUUAUGCCACUGCUCUUGGAUAUACAGGAACCCUGACAGGACAAGAAACCAUAGGAAACCCAGAAGUAUAUAUAAGCUAAGGUUGAAUUCUAUUGGUUUACACCACACCUGCAACUCCAGAAUGUGCAUGAUCCAAGACACAAAUUCCAAGACUCAGCAUGUUACUCAGUGGCGACUAGUAAAGCUUUAAGAUUUUGGGGUGUCAGACUUCUCCCCCAGAAUUUUACUCCUCCCUAUACAGUACAGAGAUAAUCAUAUAAUACAGAGAACUGAAAGAUGAUGCUACAAAGAUGAUCAUACCACAAACAAUGCUGAGAAAAACUAGAGAUAUAAUACACAGAGCUGGGCAUAAUAUAAACAUUGCAAUACAAUAUACAGAUCUGUGUAGACUACAGAGAUAACCAUGCAACAGGUAGAACCAAAUAAAAUACAGAGAAAUAUUGCACAGAGCUAGGCACAAUAAGGAGAUAUCAUGGAGAGAAAAAAACAGGUCGCAAGAGUAUUCUGAGAACUGACAGCAACUGAAAUAGCCUGCCCUUCGGUGGGUCCCCGCUCAGAACUCAAGCUGGUUUUAGCUCAUCUUGUGCCAUUACAGAGAGGACAUAUCUGAAGCAUAUCAGACUGGUCCCACCCAUACAGGCAGUCCAGAUCCGAAAUGCCAGCAAGUUUCCUCUGCACGAGAGACACUGCAACCCCAGACAAUCGUUUCAGCCUUGUUAGGCAUCAUCAGUGAGGCAUAGCUGACAAUAAGGAGAUAUCAUAACUACCCCAUACAGCCAUGAUCACUUUGAUGAAUUACACAGAGCUGCAAUACAGAGAUUCCCAGACAAUACAUGUAUCUGCAAAAUGCUUUAGAUCUCUUUAUCUCUAUAUUUCAUAGUCCUCUCUUAGCUCUCCCUUACAUGAUCUGAUCUUCAGUAGUGCUCCUGCUAUGAUAACUUUAACUUUCUAUUAAAUAUUGCUGCUGUUAUGAAACAUGUUAUGAAACAUGUCAGCUACUGCAUAAGCUCUCAGUACACAGUGUGCACGUGGUUAAAGCAUCAAGAUAUUGAUAGACCCCAAACAUGUCAGCUAUUUCUGACUCACUAUUUCCUCUCAGCACACAGUGUGCAUAGGGUAAAGGCAGCAAUUCUUUAUUACCUUUGCAGCUGGCAAUAUAAUUAAUCUGCAGUGAAAAUAUGGAGCCAAGAAAUAGCUGACAUGGUUAACAGAAGCAACAAGCACUACAGUUUAAAACAGACUGAAAUCAGAAUCAGAUCAGUCUUCAGAGUCACAGUCCCAGUGUGAUUGAAGCUGCCGUGCCACUGAAGGCCAGCCUCCUGCCCACAAACUAUGGGCCUGGUACCAAGAGCCCCUGAAUGUGACUAUUGUCACUGUUGCCACGCAUCUUAUUCCCUCCCCCAUAGACCCUCAAUGCAUCUCAUUUCCCCCAUAGACCCUACAUGCAUCUCAUUUCCCCCCCGCCCCUCCAUGUGUGUCAUUCCUAACUCCUUCCCCAGCCCCUCCAUGUGUGUCAUUCCCAACCCCCCAUCCCCUCCACAUGUGUCAUUCCCAACCCCCCAACCCUUCCACAUGUGUCAUUCCCAACCUCCCAACCCCUCCACGUGUGUCAUUCCCAACCCCCACUCCCCUUCUGUACCUGCUUACCGCCGCGGUACCCAGUCUGACAGGAAGUGCUCUCUCUCCGUGAGCACUUCCUGUCAGACCGCUUGGCCAUGCUACACAUAGGGCAGGAGGGGAGCAGCACAGCACAGCUCUCCCCUGCUGCCGUCAACUGCGGACCCUAGGCACAGGCCAUGAAGGUAUGCAGCCGACCGUGGUAGGUACGCCACUGCAUAUGGGCAGGGCUGUGCAGAGCACUGUGUAGCCUGCUGUUACAAGCUGUGAUGGCUGCCUGGUUCCCCUGUCUCCAUGACGUCCUAUGCGACUGCAUAACUAGCACACCCUAAACACAGACCCUGUCUCUAUAUUUCUCUCUCUCUAUCUUUUUCUCUCUAUUCACUUUAUGUACUAUAUGCACCUUAAUAUUAAAAUAAAUCUUUAUGAGCUGUAUAAUUUAUUUGUCCAUUUUCUACCCAGGCUACAUAUUUUCUUUUUAUUGCACAUGUUUUUGCUUUCCUUUGUCUCUGUGAUUCAUUUCCUCAGGUUUUAAAUAUUCAAAGUUUUUGUUAAGGCUGGUUUUCUAAUUUUGAUCCUAGAGUAUUCGUCUGUAUAAAUAUUAAAAAUACUUUUGCAACUUCUUGUAUGAUAUUCUCUAACACAUUCUCCUUUGCUAAUUCACCCUUAAAGCAAUAGCAGACCUUGUACCUUUACCUAAUGUUCAUGUUAUUUAUUAAUGAUUAGCCUUGAUUUUUUUGUCUCAUCUUAUCUCAUUUUGUCUUAUCUUGCUAACUAGUAUAUCACAUCAGCACUUUAUAUUAUUGUGUACUCCCUUUAUUUCUUUGUUGUAUUACUAUUAUGUUAUUAGCUAUCAAGGUUAUCUAUAUGGUGCUCUUAUAGAUAUGGUGGAAUGGGACGGACUUAUGAUUUGGGACUCAUUGUUAGGGAUGUUUGCUUUUUGUAUGCGAUUGGAUGGAUGAAUGUUGGGGGUUAGACUGGACUAUCUAUCUGGGUGGAUAGUGAACUAUGACUGGCUUGGAAUUUGUGGCUGGUUGUGUAGCUGAAUGGCAAUGUUUAGGUAGUAGUGUAUUUCUGUGGGGUGCUAGUAAGUGCAUAUGAAUGAUGAGUGUAUUUGUGUAGAGGGCUAGUGCGUGAAUACAGUGUUGGUUUUAUUGAGUUCCAGUGUGUGCAUGCAGCAGCAUAUUUGUGUGACGUUUUAAUGUACAUGUAUAGUUAUUUAAUGUGCAUUUAUAGGCACUGGCGGAACUACCAUGGUCACAGAGGUCGCAGAGGACUGGGUCCAUCACUUGAGGGGGCCCAGUCGCCCUGUCGACCCCUGCAAACAGGGUGCCCACCAGCAUUUUGGUGCGGUCCUGACUGCGCGGAAAAACCCAUCUGAAAAACCCAUCCAUUGAAGGAUCCCAUCGGUAGCCCAUGCUCUUGGGGCCACCCGAUGGCAAUGGAUUUCCAGGGGCCCGGUCAGUACUGCGGCACUUUAAGAGCGCGACCGAUGUAAUGAUGUCAAAGCUGGGAAGAAGCCGUCACUUCCACCCAGCAAACAGAGCGUCACGCAGGAGGAGAGGAGGGAGUCAGAGUGGAAGCUCUGACUCCCAUCAACAUGAGACAGCCACUGGACCCCAGGUAAGUCACUACAUUUUUUUUUAACAGUUUGUGUGUGUGUGAUAGAGAAUGUCUGUAUCAGUGUGUCUGUAUGUCUGUGUGUGUCUGUAUGUGUGUGUGUGUGUUUGUAUGUCUGUAUGUAUGUUUCUGUGUGUGUCUACAUGCAGGGCCGAUGCAAGGAUUUCUGGCUACGUAGGCGAAGAUACAUUUUGCCGCCCCCCACCUUCUGCGUCUUCACCUAUGUGUCUCGUAACCGGCCUCUUUGUGUCUUUCUUUCUCCCCCACAGCCCCUUUGUGUGUCUCUUUCUUUCUUCCACCGGCCCCUUUCUUUCUCAAUUUGUGUGUCUCUCCCCUCAUCGCCCUUUGUGUGUCUUUUUUCUCCCAUGCCAUGUAGACAUAGAUAUAUAGCAACACAACCACACAGGAACACAGAAUAAUUAAGGCACACAGGUACACAAUCUACACAUACAGGUACAAUGUCAUACUAAUACACAAACAGAGACAUUUAGACUCUGUCAUAUAGAGGAAUACAGACUAGGGAAGUGCAUGGGAAAAAUAUUCGGUUCGGUUCAGCAUUCCUAAAUUUGGGACUUCAGCACUUGGGGACUUCGGCACUUCAGUGCAGCAAUUUGACACUUCAGGACUUCGGGAAAGGUUAGGGUUAGGGUUGGUUUAGGGUUAACUCUCCUGUUUUGCCACUUUUCAGAAAUCUGAAGCACUUCGGCACUUCCAAAAUUCGGCAAUUUGUCAAUUCGGCAAUUCGGUUUGGCAUUCGGCACAUCGGCAAAAUUUGCAUUCAGAACAAAAUUAAUUGUGCAUGUCUAAUACAGACACAGGCAUACAAAGACAUACAUACACAGUCAUAUAGUCAUACAUAUACAGACAUACAUAGCACAGGCAAAUCCAGGGCUCUAGUGGAGCGUAUGGGCUGGAAUUGGGGUGCUAGGAAAUGUAGUGGGGGCAUAGGGACUGAAGUAGGUUUAUGGCUACAAUUUUGGAAAGGGGCUGUGGUGUAAGUUAUAUGGGCUGCAAUUGGGGAAGAGGGGCUGUAGUGGGGGAUGAUAUGGGAAUGUUGUAAGGGUAUAGGGGCUGUAGUGGGGAUAUGGGGUGUAAAAGUGGGGUUAGGUUUGCACCUGGGGUGAUAGCAGCUGUCGUUGGAGGGAUGUGUAUUAGGGGAGUUAGGCGCUGUGGUAGAGGCAGCCAGGGGCUGUAGAGGGGGCGCAGGGGCUGAGAGAGGCAGUGGCUGAUAGAGGGGAGACAGGGUCUGAGAGAGGGGGGACAGGGGGUGGAGAGGCGGGGGCUGGAUCUGUAGAGGGGGGACAGGGACUGAGAGGGGGAUAGGGACAGAAAGGGGGGCAGGAUCUGUAGAGGGGGACAGGGGCUGAGAGAGGGGAGGCAGGGUCUGAGAGAGGGUAACAGGAGCUCUAGAGGGAGAACGCUAGUGUAGAGGGGAACCUGGGGGAUGGAGGGGUGGGCAGGAGCUGUGUAGGGGGAAGAGACUGAGAUGGGUGACAGGGAAUGAGGACAGAAGCUGUAGAGGAGUGCGCAUGGACUGAGAGAGAGGGACAGGAGCUCUAGAGGGGGGCCAGUUGCUGGAGAGCAGGGGCAGGAGCUGUAAAGGGGGCAGAAACAGAGAAGGGGGACAGAGUAUGAGAGGGGGUACAGGAGCUGUAGAGGGGUGCACAGGGGCUGAGAGAGUGGGACAGAUGCUCUAAAUGGUGGACAGCUGAUGGAGAGGGGUGCAGGGGCUGUGGUGUGGGGGGCAGAGGGGCUGCUUAAAAAGAAAAAACAAAACACAUAUUCCCCCCUCCCUGAGGCUUAUCUUGUGCCAGGGAGGGUGAGACAGAAGUUGCAGUCUGCAUUCAUUAUACAGGGAAGUUGGUCGACCUCUCCUGAUGAUGUCAGGAGGAGGGAGCGUGACUUCCACUGCUCUUCUCCCAGACUCCCCAGUGGAUGGGAGAAGAGCAGUGAAACUAGUCACCCCCCAACUCCUGACAUCAUCAGGAGAGGCUGGCCAACUUCACUGGCUGUAGGAUGCAGGGAGACAGGUAAUUUGAAAAAUCCAAGUCCCCAGCCAGAGUCAGAGGAUUCAGAUUUUUGCACCCCCUGCUCUGGUGCCCUAAGGCGGCCGCCUGUGUCGCCUUAUGGAAGCGCCGGCCCUGUCUACAUGUCUGUGUGUGUGUGUGUGUGUAUGUGUGCCUGUAUAUAUGUGUCUCUGUGUGUGUCUGUAUGUGUGUGUGUGUGUUUGUGUGUAUGUGUGUCUGUAUGUAUGUGUGUUUGUGUGUCUAUAUGUAUCUGUGUUUGUAUGUGUGUCUACAUGUAUGUGUGCCUGUCUGUGUGUCUGCAUGUGUAUCUGUUUGUCUGCAUGGGUGGGGGGCAGGGAUGUAUGGGGUAGGUUGUAGAUGUAUGGGGUGGGGGUAGACGUAUGGGGUGGGGGUAGACGUAUGGGGGGGGGGCCCAAGGGCAAUUUUUGCACUGGGGUCCCGUAGUUUCUAGUUAGGCGAUCCUAAUUUUCUAUCCUAAUGUCCCUUUUUUCUAGGACCUUGUAUUCUUUGUGUGUCUGACUUUAUAACAGAGCUCCACAACAAUAGUACUCAUGGUAAAGUGUCUUUAAACUACAGUAAAUGUGUUUAGAAAUCAGUCUGUGUGAAGAUAAGUUGUGCCAGAUACAAUGUUUUUUUUCUAAAUUACAUCUUUGAUACAUAAAUUGUUAUUAGUAGGUCAGCUAAGAUUUCUAAACCCCAUCCUCAACCACACCACCACUCAGAUUCCUAAAAUUUAAAGGGACACUAUAUGAUUCAAAACAACUUAGGUUAAUGAAGCAUUUUGGGUGUGUAUAUAUCAUGCCCACUGUUCAAUUCUGUUCAAUUUAGGAGUUAAAUCACUUUUGUUUCUGCAUAUCCAACCUCAGUCAUACCUCCCUUGGCUGUGACUCACACAGCCUGCAUGGAAAAAAUGGUUUCAUUUUCAAUCAGAUAAUAUUAACUUCCUAGUAUAUGUAGGUGAUGGAAGUGCACUCAAGCCUUCGUCAUGGAAUUCAAGGUGCUCCAAUGGAUAAGUCCCAGUACCCAAAAAAGGACCAAAUAUGGAAUUGAAUAUAGAAAGUAAUCCAGGCACUCCAGCGAAUUCCAAAGUAGAGGCAAUUUUUAUUGGAACAAGAAACCAAAAAGCAACGUUUCGACCCUUAAGGGCCUUUGUCAAGCUUGUUUAAAUAGAAGUUCUAUAUUCAGUAUUAACUUCCUAUAGACUUUUUUUUAUAAUUUGUUCACUCGCAACCUUUUUUUUUUCCAUUUCCACAUGCUUGAGCCAAUAUGCUUGCCAUAUGUAUUUUCUUUUUUGACAACAAUAAAUGUGCAUUAUUUUUCUAUGAUUUUAUCGUGAUACAUUUUGGGGAAUUACCUACGAGUGCCAAGUUAAAAGAUCUGCAGUGAUUUGUUGCAGCUGAAUUCUACUUUGCCAAAAUCUUUUGAUCAGGUAUUGAAGAAGUGCUUUCCCAAGCAGAAGGGUAUUGCCCUUAAAACUAAAUAGAUAAAGAAAGGGUUUUUACUGUGUGGUUGUCCUGCUAGCUUGGGCCUUAUAUAUCAUUAUGUGCUGAUAGAUAAUUACUGUAUAACUUACCCUGCAAGACUCAAUUUCAGACUUUCUCGAGCUGUGGUUAGUUGUAUAAGGAGACUUUUGGAGGUAUUGCGUUAAUGUUGUGUGCCGAAUUUGUCAUAACUGCAAAAGAUUAUUAGUGGCUGAUGGUGGUUUCGCCGAAAGAGUUGAAAAGAGGUUAGAAUACAUCAAAGUUGAUAUGGUUGAAUGGAGAGACGGGAGGUCAGUGGGUAGUUAUCUUAUAUCAAGAGAAUUCAAGUUUUUGAUAAGAAAAGUUUGGUUAGUUUUAUAUAGUUGGGUGUAGUUAACAGUAAUAUUACAGUUCAGCAAAAAGUGAUCGGAAAGUAGGAAAGGUGUUUUGUUUUUUGUAAGUUAAAGUUUUAUUGACAUUCAGCAACAGCAUGAAAAAUCCAAGAAAAAAAGCCACGCAUGUCCCUAAUUAAUAUAGUUGUCUUUCCUUUUCUUGUUUUUUGUUUUUUUGUUUUUUUGCUUUCAGUAUAGCCACGCAGGACCAUUUAGGAGUUAACCAGUGUAAGCCUAAUGGUGACUAUCUUAGACAGUAUCGCAAAGAACGUUGCAGACAAAACCAUGGAAAAUGAAGAGAGAAAAAAAUAAGUCAUAGCAGCGAAACUCAUCUGCGGAACCACGAAUUGGAGUAUGAUCCACAGCGGUCAAGAUAAAGUUAGUCAGGCCACCUGAAUCUGUACAACUCUAUUUCACAAAGUAAUAAUCAUUAAGCCGUUAACUGGUGCUAGUACUCCCCAGGGCUUGGCGUGAACCCACUCCAGUAUUGGAAGCAUUGGCAACUAGGACAGGUGGUUUAGAAAGGUUACAAUUAGCUACAGGAGAUCAGUUAUAGCUUAUCAAUAUAUACAUAAAGGGCCAAGUUCGGGUCUCUGUGAGAGCAACACAAUUUAGGAGAUCAGAAAUAAAUAAUUUGAGACAUUAGGCACUACAUGGCAACUGCAUAUUUUUUAUAUAUGGAAUAGAAUAUGGAAGGCAAAAGUGUUGGGGUUAAACUGUUGCAGUGCAGGGGUUAAACCAAAGCUUUAAUUCCAGUUUAAUUCCUGGAGGUACGAAGGUAUCAGCACACCCCUGCCCCUUUAACCCCUUAGACUAGCUAACUUAAUGAUUCUAACAGGGUUAUUCAGUAAUGUGAGAAUUUGUGGGAAUUCAGAGUCAAUUUCAUAUUUAUUGUCCAAAUAACCAAAGUGGAAAACUCCUCUAAGCCAGCAAUGCUUUCUGUGUGGCUACUCUGGCCUUAAAUUUGAAAUUCACUUUGCAUAUUCACUUUAGCAAAUAACCCUGUCAAUAUUUAUACAAUCUCUCAACACUGCACAUACAACAUAACUUUCAUUUUGAAUUGUACAAUUAUGGAAAAUUAAAUAUGUCCCAUAAAUUCCCACUUACUUUUCCAUUUGUUUUAGAACUGGUUUUACAUGACAGACAAAUAGAUGUUUCUGCCAGAGCUCAAUUCAGCACCUCUGUCUACCAGCAGCGGGACUUUAAAUCCUGCUCACUCUACUCUAUAGCAUUACAUUAUUAUUACAUAUAGUGUCUUUAUUUACGCAGUUACAUUCUCAAAAAUGCAGUCAGGUUCCUUGUAAAUAUUCACGAGCCAUCUAAUUUUUAUUGAUGUUAUCUCUCCAAUAUUUCUGUUUUGGGUUAAUAAAUUAACAAAUAAAUAAUAACACCUCCUAUGUACAUAUUUUUAAAGAAUCCC